GAGCAGCAGCAACCUGCUUGGACCCCCUUUCACACUGUGGAAACUUUGUUCUUUCGCUCUUCACAAUAAAUCUUGCUGCUGCUCACUCUUUGGGUCUGUGUCAUCUUUAAGAGCUAUAACACUCACCGCGAAGGUCUGCAGCUCCAUUCUGGAAAUCAGUGAGACCACGAACCCACCAGAAGGAACAAACUCCGGACACAUCUUGGCGACUACAAAGGGACUAUCGCCAAGUGGAUUGAUGCCAUCAAGCUACAGAUGGUCUUACAAAUGGAACACCAAAUGAGCUCUACUAACAACUUCUACCGUGGACCACUGGACUGACCCACUGACCCUUUGGCUGGCCUAGAGAGAUCUGCUCUGUAGGACACUACCACUGCCACUGCAGGGCCCCUUCUUUGCCUCUAUCCAACAGGAAGUAGCUAGAGUGGUCAUCACCCAAUUCCCAACAGCAGUUAGGGUGUCCUGUUUAGAGGGGGGAUUGAGCGGUGAAGCCAGCUGGACUUCCUGGGUUGAGUGGGGUCUUGGAGAACUUUUCUGUCAUACAAGAGGGUUGUAAAACACACCAAUCAGCGCUCUGUGGCUAGCUAGAGGUUUGUAAAAUAGACCAAUCAGCACUCUGUAAAAUGGACCAAUCAGCAGGAUGUGGGCAGGGACAAAUGAGGGAAUACAAGCUGGCCACCCCAGCCAGCAGUGGUAAGCCACUCGGGUCCCCUUCCACGCUGUGGAAGCUUUGUUCUUUUGCUCUUCACAAUAAAUCUUGCUGCUGCUCUCUCUUUGGGUCUGUGCCAUCUUUAAGAGCUGUAACACUCACCGCGAAGGUCCACGGUGCAUUCUUGAAGUCAGUGAGACCGCAAACCCACUGGAAGGAACAAACUCCAGACACACUGUCAUAGGUCUUAGUUCCAAAGGAAGGAAUGCUUUCACUAGGGGACACAACAAUGAUUCCAUAUAACUCAUGUUAAAACUGCUGCUCUGCCACUUUGUUCUCCUCAUGUCUCUGAGUCAGCAUGCAAGGAAAAGAAGAGAGUUACUGUUUUGGCUGGGGUAAUUGAUCUUGACUACCAAGAAGAACAUGGAUGGAUACUCCACAAUGGAGGUAAGGAAGAGUAUUUGUAGCAUACAGGAGAUGCCUUAUGGUAUCUCUUAGUGUUACCAUGCCCUGCAAUUAAAGCCAUUGGAGAACUACAGCCCAAAUCAGGCAGAACUUCUAAUGGUCCACCCUUCUGGCUUUAAUUACCUAACGAGUAAAGAAUCAUCACCAGUUGAGGUACUUGCUGAAGGCUAAGGGAAUACCUAAUGAGUAGUGGAAGAAAGUAGUUAUAAAUACCAGCUAUGACCACGUGACCAGUUAUUGAAAUUAGGAUUGUAAUUGUCAUAAUUAUUUCUUCCUUAUUUUGUUAUAAAUAUAUAUUUAUGUGUAUAAAAAUAUGUUUCCUUCCUUCUCUUAUUCCUUUGACAUGUAAUAUAGGAUGUAUUGACUUUAUAUCAUAAUGUUCAUGUUUUGUUUACUUUACAUCGUAGUACUGAAUAAUGAGAUACCAAAGAGAAAAGUAAACACCACCCAAGGACUUUGCAUCCUCUUCUGGGAAAAAGUUAGUGUAUUUUUGGUUGUUUUCAGGACACAAGAUCUUGUUUGACACAAGAUCGCUGGCUGAUAACUGGCAUCAUACCCAGGGAAUGUUGCCAAACUGGGGUCUCAUUAUUGGUCUCUGCUAUAGGCAAAUUGGAGUCUUAACAGGUGUUGUAACCAGGUCAGUCUCAGUAAGUAGAAGUUCGUGUUGCUAAGGCCAUGCAUAACCUGAAUCCCUGCCAUCAUGGCCACUUUGUUCGUGAGUCCAUAGGGCAAUGACAGAGGUGGUUAAGGAAAGAGACUGGCUGAUAUCCACAGAACGGGUUAUCCUAUCUACUUGACUAUCAAAAUUUUCCUCUGCUAAGGUGACCCUUUGGUCAAUAUUCACAUAAGACAAAAAUUUUCUUAACAUUUUUUGCCAUUCAAAGAGGACAUACUUCUUCUCCAGACUUCCCUAUCACUAAUUUUUUUUUUUUUUUUAAAGACAGAGUCUCGCUCUGUCGCCCAGGCUGGAGGGCAGUGGCGCGAUCUCGGCUCAGGGCAAGCUCUGCCUCCCAGGUUCACAACAUGCUCCUGCCUCAGCCUCCCGAGUAGCUGGGACUACAGGCACCAGCCACCAUGCCCGGCUAAUUUUUUUUGUAUUUUUCAGUCGAGACGGGGGUUCACCGUGUUAGCCAGGAUGGUCUCGAUCUCCUUUCCUCAUGAUUCGCCCCCCUCGGCCUCCCAAAGUGCUGGGAUUACAAGCAUGAGCCACCGCGUCCGGCCCCCUAUCACUAAUUUUUGAAUCAUGCUCCUUUCAACUUCCUGACCAUACAACCAAACAUUGGCUAAACCUCAUGAAUUGAUGUAAAAUUGCACUUCUGGUUAUUUCUCCUUCCAAGCAAAAUUAGUAUCAGGGGAAAAUCUUCAAAGUUCUGCCCACUGGGAAAAUUCUAUUUCACCAUUGUCUUUCAGUAAUGUCCCAGAAAAGGGCUGUAAUGCUGCGGCUAUUCACUUUCAGGUGUAUCUGUACAUCAUUUAAAACCAUCUGUAUAAUAGGACCAAGUCUUCUCUUCCUCUUUCAACUGAUCAUAGGAAACUCCUCAUGAGGCCAUAAAUACAAGUACACAUACCCAUGCACACAUAUUUAUCUUCCUUCUUUUGUGAACAACGACUGGUUUCUCUUAUUAAGUACCAUAGCAGAUGUUUGUAAAAAAUUUGUAAUGGGACACAACAACUUUUAUUAUCAAAUGCAAACUUUGUCGUUUUGUGUUUUAGCCUAUACCUAACUCUCUGACCAUUUUCAAUGUGUUUCUUUCUUCUUGAAUUCUGUGAUUUACCUUCUGUGUAAUUUUCUCUGCCCUGGACAAUCUCUUUCAUUAUUGAGUGGGUUAAGUAGGCUUACUCAAUAAAUUUAAAAGUCACUAGCCCUAAACUUCCAAAAUAAAACUCUUACUCUCUCAUUAGUUUGGGCCAUUUUUUGUCCCUCCAUAAUGCUUACUUUAUUUAUUUCUAUAAAUCACAUAGUACUGUAUUAUUUUAACAAUCAUCACAGUUUUUGAGAUUUUUCAUCAGAUUUUAAAUCUCUUAGGACAGAAGCCACAAAAUCAUUGUCUUUUCAUUCCCAGACUUGAGGCAAUACCUAGGUAUUUUGCAAUGUUUAAUAUCUGGCACAUGUUCAAUACAUUAAAAAUUACAUAAAUAAAAACUACAACAAAAACAUAAGAAAUAAAUGAAAGUAAAAUGAAAUAAAAAAUGAAAAGGACAAGAUGGUAAAGAUCAGAAAAAUAUUAUUAGAAAAGUUGGCUUUUUAGGCGUGCAUAUGAGUAAGUUGGAUUGGGGUAUGGAGAGAUGGUGAGAAAGGACCUUGCUUGUUUUCAUCUAGAAAUUUCAAUUAGGUACACAUGGAGAAUUUAUAGAAUUAUAAUAUUUCCAACACAAGCAAGCACUACAUAUUAUUUUUCUUGUAAAGUAAAAAACUCAUCAAUACAGAUAAAUCAGUGAAAUUAAUAUAUUUAGAACUCAGUUCAUAUAGACAAAAUGAGACUGUAAUUAGCUCUCUAAGUAAAUCUGUAGGUCAUUGGUAAAAUUGACACAGAAAAAGGGGGAAAGGUGGAAAGGAGUUAGAAAUGCAUGAAUGGUUAGACAAAUAUGUUCUGUGAGGUGUACUUGGAAUCAAUCACUAUUAAUAUUGUUCAGUUAGGUGGGCAAUUGUUUAACUAGACUGCUUUUCUGAACUUACCACUUGCUUUAGCCAAUUUUUUCUAUGUCUUUAUUGAUUGCCAAUGAAAUUGUCAUUUUGACUAAUGCAUUUAUUUAAGGGUAUCAAGCAAUGAUGAUCUUGUCCCUUUGUCUUGUAGAAAAGUGAUGCCCCUCUGGAUUUCAGAGAGAAGAUAUACAGAAUAAAGGUAUAUUUAAAAAAAAUAUGAUAUGUGCAGAAUAAGCAAGAAGAAGGAAGAGAAAAAAGGAAAUGAAAAUUUAAAAAAACCUGACAUGGCAUAAAAUAUUUAAUUGAUUGUUCCUAUUUAAGAUGUAUCUAUUGUCCUCUGGGUUUGAUAAUUAUGUGAUACUCAUAUCAUUUCCUUAAAUUUUAUUUUCUUAGGAAACUUAUGCAAGGUUCUACUUGGAUGACAAGAAAGGGAGAAAGGAUGGCUAAAAUGCAAAUUAUGUAGUUGGAUCACUCUUGAUUCACUUUCUGGAGGCUUUGUGCCUCCCGUGGUGUUCUUCACCACUAUAACACAGUGAUCACCUCUCAAGGCACUCUUGAUUAUUACUUCCCUGCAUGCAUUCCUCAGUGAUAUUUUCUACUCUUCCUAAUUUGACAAAGGGAAGUAUUCCAAAAAUCCUGACUAGUCACCUAUCUUCACCUUGCCUCCUAUGUCAGCUUUCUCACAUUGUGGGCUUUUUUGUUUGUUUGUUUGUUUGUUUUCUGUUUUUACUUCUGCCCUCUAAAUGUCUGGAGACUGAGAAGUAGCCUUUUCCCUUCCCUUCCCUUCCCUUCCCUUCCCUUCCUUUCUCUCCCCUCCUCCCCUCCCUUCCCUUCCUGUCUUUUCUUUUCUUUUUUCUUUUCUCUUUUCUUUUCUUUUUUCUUUUCUCUAUUCUCUUUUCUUUUCUUACUUUUCCUCUUCUCUUCUCUCCUCUCCUCUCUUCUCUUCUCUUUCUCUUUUCUGUUCUUUUGUGAGACAGGGUGUCACUCUGUCACCCAGACUGAAGGGCAGUGGUGCAAUCUCUGCUCACCACAGCCUCCACCUCCCAGGCUCAAGCGAUUCUCCUGCCUUAGCCUCCCGAGUAGCUAAGACUACAGGCAUGUGCCACUACUGCCCAGCUAUUUUUUUUUUUAGUAAAGAUGGGGUUUUAUCAUGUUCACCAGGCUGGUCUCGAACUCCUGACCUCAAAUGAUCCACCCACCUUGGCCUCCCAAAGUGCUAGGAUUAUAGGCAUGAGCCACCAUCACCAGCCAGUAUUAUUUUCUACCUGUAAGAUGUCUUUUCCAGUUUGGCACAUGUAUUCAUUAAGUGAAAGUUUAGUCUGACAACUGUAUGACAGUGAAAAAAACUUUAGUCUCAUUUUGUCCAUGACAUGGUAGGUCUUUGAGUAGCUUACUCUUAUCAUGCCAUUUGCAGUAGACUGAUUUACCACACUGUUGCAUGUGAUAUGGUUUGGCUGUGUUCCCACCCAAAUCUCAUAUUUAAUUGUAGCUCCCAUAAUCCCCAUGUGUCAUAGAAGAGACCCGAUUGGAGGGAAUUAAAUCAUGGGAGUGGGCUUUUCCCAUGCUGUUCCCCUGACAGUCAAUAAGUCUCACAUGAUCUGAUGGUUUUACAAAGAUCAGUUCCCCUGCACAUGCUCUCUUGCCUGCUGCCAUGUAAGAUGUGCCUUUGCUAGACUUUUGCCUUCUGCCAUGAUUGUGAAGCCUCCUUAGCCAUGUGGAACUGUGAAUUCAUUAAACCUCUUUCUCCUUAUAAA
Molecule: long non-coding RNA, 5512 nt
Organism: Pan troglodytes (chimpanzee)
Lineage: Eukaryota; Metazoa; Chordata; Mammalia; Primates; Hominidae
Exons: 3
Source: RefSeq, a predicted model, not a curated record